AUGCCACAAAACUACACAAAAACAAGAAAAUAUCUAAGAACACAACUACAAGAAAAAUGGAUGAAAGAAGAUGCACUUGCACACGGGAUCAGAAGGAAAUUAAAGAUGUUAUCAACCGCUGGACAUCAGAAAUACAGACCAACUUUGCUUCAUCACAUCCCAAAAAGAAGACUUUUUGGGAAAAAACAUAGAAAAAAUAAAAAAAUUGGCAAAGUCAUCAUCAGAGACUUAAAUACUAAGAAUCAGAUCAUAGAUCAUAUUGUUGCAGUAUUUUCUCAUCCUUUGAUCAUUUACUGGGUGUGGGAGUAA
RNAcentral lists this ribosomal RNA (309 nucleotides) under Triticum aestivum (bread wheat). RNAcentral describes it as "partial small subunit ribosomal RNA". The record is from RNAcentral. Lineage: Eukaryota; Viridiplantae; Streptophyta; Magnoliopsida; Poales; Poaceae.